AUCACACACAGGUAGUCGGUUUACUGAGGGAAGGCUUGCCUGAUGAGAAAGAUCUUUGCCUGCUUGUGGAACGCAAAAAAGAGGGAGAAAAUGAGCUAGUAGUUCAUGACACACUGAAUUUAAUAUGUCUUAAAGAUUUAGAACUUAUUGGUUUCACUACAGGAACCUCGCACACUGGCCUCUCUGAAAACUGUUUGAAUGGAAAAAGUACAUGAUUAUAUCUAACAGAAAGGAACAUUUCAUUACGUAUCACUCCAAAUCACAUAUAACUGGAUAGAAAGAGGACUCUGUUAGUCAUUCGGAAGGUAUCCAAGAGAAUCUGAGCACUAACAUGUUGACUGGGAAUUCAGAAACUAGAUCUCAGCUUCUUGAAUAGAUCAUUACAAGCAACCCUCAUGCCCUGCUCAUUUAAUCAGAGUUUCAAAAGUUAUUUUGGAAGAAUCUCUCUCUGAAUCUUCUAGCUAACAUGCUGAUUAGAGAAUUCUACAACCUAUAGCAUGAAAAAGUGACUUUUCCAAGCUCUGCUUCAUAUUUCUAUAGGAUUGCCGGACAUAAACAGCUCCCCGGAUUGAAGAAUGAAGGAAAACUUACUUAAAUUUCUGGCUUGUGAAGUUCUUUUCGUACCUGGAUAUUUCUCAAUAACUUUCUUGUCCAUUUUUCUGUCUAUUUUACUUUUCUCUUCUGUUUUCUUUCUUUCUUUUUUUGAGGGGGAGGGAUAAAGAGUAUGCUGGCUUCAAGUGUAACAGCUUAAACGGUGGCAAGACUCAGGAGCACCUACCUACUGGGAGUUUCAUCCAUUACUGAAGGACUGCACUGACAUCAGCGGUGACUUCAUAAUGCAGGGCUUUCAAGAGUCUAGGAUGAUGUCACAGUGCAGAGUUAGGACAAGGCAAAUAUGGUAACAUCCCCAUGCGAAACAAGUGAGACCAGAGAAGCCCAGGAAACUUUCUCCACUUGCUUGCUGUGUCCUGUUCAGCUCUCCAAGUCAAGAGUAACCCACUUAGUAGGCCUUAGACAUGGAGGGUACACUUGCCUGUGGAAGUGAAACUGGAUCACAUAUUCCACGAAAAGAGACCUUGUUCCCACCCACCUCCAGAAAUGCUUUGGAAGAUUCAUACCUUAUUGCAUGCAACAUAUAAGCAAAGGUGAGCCAGCCAACCUUCUGCCUGAGCCUACAUGCAGUACCACUCAGCCCUAUGAUCCACUCACAAAAUAAGAAGCAGGUUCAGCAGGUGGCUUAAAAUGAGAAAACAUUUCCCCCAUAUCUUUGUCAUUGUCACCCAGCAUCAAACCAACACUUUAACUUACCAAAAAGGAUAACGCAUCCAACCUAGCUUUUUAAAAUGUGUGAUUCUUGGAACAAUCACACAAGCCAAUUAGCUGAAUGAUAAACAAGUAUUGGAUUAAAAGACUGGUUGUUUUGUUCUUUCAGAUUCACUUUUAAAGUAUUUUAGUAAAAAAGAGCAAAUGUAAAUGCAUCACACAUUUAUAUUCCAACAUGUACUCACUCUUUGAAUGAUUAAAGUAUAAAUAUAUAUUGGAACGAAGUCACCUUGUUACACAUUUGAUAAGAAACAUAAUAGUAAUUACAGAUAAAUUAUGAAUUUUUGUAGCACCACUACAUAAAACAGUUGUCCAAGGUCCACCAGGAGUGUUUUCUCUCUCAUUUCUUUCUCAGUUUGUUAAAACUGUCCCUUAUUCCUCCCGUAAAUAUGGGCUCAUUGAACUCCGCCUG
Long non-coding RNA from Pogona vitticeps (central bearded dragon), 1735 nucleotides. The record is from Ensembl. Lineage: Eukaryota; Metazoa; Chordata; Lepidosauria; Squamata; Agamidae.